UUAGGUUUCUUAAAUAAAAAGACCGAUUGAGUAAGAGUGGGGUUUCUUAGAAAAAAUAUCAGAAACCAUAACAUACAAAAAUAUGGUUCCUUAUACAUAAUGGAUUUUAGGUGGAAAUCAAAGAUACCAAUCUUGUAUGAAAAUUGGUCUCUUAUUAGUUUAAAUAGUAAAUAUUAAAAAAAUUAAAAGUAAAAAAUGUCAGUUCACUCGCUUCGUCUUCCUUUUCCAGUUCCUCAAUUGCGCUCAUUUCCUUCUCAGUCAUCACAAAUCACAGUCAGAAUGCUCGAAUCACCGCCACCAGAAACACCAUCAAUACCACCGCAUCCACCACAAUCACCAAAAUGACCACCAAACGAAUCGCAGCAAUCAGAAACUCAAUACCCUAACCCUAACCCUAACUCUGAAUCUAAAAACCCAUCUCAAAAUCCUCAACCUUCAACCCCAGAAACUCUAAAUCCACCUCCAGAAAACCCGAUUAAUGAACAAAUUGAGUCCGAAGAAAACCCCCAUGUUGUGGUUGAAGAGGAUCAAGAGCAGCAGGAUGAGCCCGACUCAGAACUCGAACCCGAACCCGAACCAGAAACCAAGCACCCAGAAUCAGAAGCGAGAUCACGAGUUUUUUUUAUCAAAUUGAUCGACGGUGAUGGUGAGAUGGUUGAGAAUCGUGAGAAUACAAGUUUUAACUAUUGCCGAAGAAUGCGGCGAAGGUUGAGGCAAAGGUGGGCGAUACAUUCUCUGUUGUGAAGGAGUUUGUUUCAAGGGCGGUGAUAUAUGAACGUCCCUGAGCUUGGUACGGUGAUACAAAGAUAUUAAUUGAAUGUCAGGGGUCUAUUUUGGAACGAAAGUACCAAAAACACUCAUAGUACAAAACUAAAAAUUUCCUAAAUCCUCCAUAUUUUGUAGGGGACCUUUUUUGUAAUCUAAGGAUCAAUUUGUAAUCUAAGGAUCAAUUUUUAUCCCAAUAUGAUAUAAUUUUUUUGUU
This is a long non-coding RNA of Spinacia oleracea (spinach), 982 nucleotides long. RefSeq lists it as uncharacterized. The record is from RefSeq and is a predicted model, not a curated record. NCBI's taxonomy places the organism in Eukaryota, Viridiplantae, Streptophyta, Magnoliopsida, Caryophyllales, Amaranthaceae. The transcript has 2 exons.